CCAGGGAAGAAGCGAAAGUGACGGUACCUGCAGAAAAAGCGCCGGCUAACUACGUGCCAGCAGCCGCGGUAAUACGUAGGGCGCAAGCGUUAUCCGGAAUUAUUGGGCGUAAAGAGCUCGUAGGCGGUUUGUCGCGUCUGCUGUGAAAUCCGGAGGCUCAACCUCCGGCCUGCAGUGGGUACGGGCAGACUAGAGUGCGGUAGGGGAGAUUGGAAUUCCUGGUGUAGCGGUGGAAUGCGCAGAUAUCAGGAGGAACACCGAUGGCGAAGGCAGAUCUCUGGGCCGUAACUGACGCUGAGGAGCGAAAGGGUGGGGAGCAAACAGGCUUAGAUACCCUGGUAGUCCACCCCGUAAACGUUGGGAACUAGUUGUGGGGUCCAUUCCACGGAUUCCGUGACGCAGCUAACGCAUUAAGUUCCCCGCCUGGGGAGUACGGCCGCAAGGCUAAAACUCAAAGGAAUUGACGGGGACCCGCACAAGCGGCGGAGCAUGCGGAUUAAUUCGAUGCAACGCGAAGAACCUUACCAAGGCUUGACAUAUACGAGAACGGGCCAGAAAUGGUCAACUCUUUGGACACUCGUAAACAGGUGGUGCAUGGUUGUCGUCAGCUCGUGUCGUGAGAUGUUGGGUUAAGUCCCGCAACGAGCGCAACCCUCGUUCUAUGUUGCCAGCACGUAAUGGUGGGAACUCAUGGGAUACUGCCGGGGUCAACUCGGAGGAAGGUGGGGAUGACGUCAAAUCAUCAUGCCCCUUAUGUCUUGGGCUUCACGCAUGCUACAAUGGCCGGUACAAAGGGCUGCAAUACCGCGAGGUGGAGCGAAUCCCAAAAAGCCGGUCCCAGUUCGGAUUGAGGUCUGCAACUCGACCUCAUGAAGUCGGAGUCGCUAGUAAUCGCAGAUCAGCAACGCUGCGGUGAAUACGUUCCCGGGUCUUGUACACACCGCCCGUCAAGUCAUGAAAGUCGGUAACACCUGAAGCCGGUGGCCUAACCCUUGUGGAGGGAGCCGU
RNAcentral lists this ribosomal RNA (1008 nucleotides) under Microbacterium sp. RNAcentral's name for it is "bacterial SSU rRNA". It matches the Rfam family "Bacterial small subunit ribosomal RNA", at positions 439 to 1456 of the family's 1533-position model. The record is from RNAcentral. Lineage: Bacteria; Bacillati; Actinomycetota; Actinomycetes; Micrococcales; Microbacteriaceae.